This 219-nucleotide long non-coding RNA is filed under the name Mustela putorius furo (domestic ferret). Its description in RNAcentral is "lncRNA (ENSMPUG00000028453.1)". Lineage: Eukaryota; Metazoa; Chordata; Mammalia; Carnivora; Mustelidae. The record is from RNAcentral.
UGAGAAUUGAUUCUUUCUGUCCCACCCUGUCAUCUCCUCCUAGGACGAUAGGGGACUGCAUCCCAGAGAGAGAGAGCGGAGUGGCGUGAUCUACAGUCUCCACGAAGGACCACAAAGCCCAGCUGUUCGUGGCACCCCCGUCUUAAUGGCACAGCUCUGAAUCUGAAUCUGAUUCAGUGUCCUGUUCUCUCUAGAAGAACUGCUCUAGCGAUUAUGUAG